RNAcentral lists this long non-coding RNA (213 nucleotides) under Mytilus galloprovincialis (Mediterranean mussel). Lineage: Eukaryota; Metazoa; Mollusca; Bivalvia; Mytilida; Mytilidae. The record is from RNAcentral.
ACCAUUUUAGGAGUUAUUGCCCUUUAUAGUCAAUUUUUUUACAAUUUUUCUUAAAUCUUAGUAAUCUUUUAGAAAAAUCUUCUCCUCUGAAACUACUGGGCAAAUUUAACCAAACUUGGCCAUAAUCAUCAUUGGGGUAUCUAGUUUAAAAAAUGUGUCCGGUAACUCGCCCAACCAACCAAGAUGGCCGCCAUGGCUAAAAAUGGAACAUAG